Molecule: transfer RNA, 72 nt
Filed under: Camelus bactrianus (Bactrian camel)
Lineage: Eukaryota; Metazoa; Chordata; Mammalia; Artiodactyla; Camelidae
Also listed under: 2 other names
Rfam family: tRNA
About the family: Transfer RNA (tRNA) molecules are approximately 80 nucleotides in length. Their secondary structure includes four short double-helical elements and three loops (D, anti-codon, and T loops).
Source: Rfam by way of RNAcentral
GUGGGUGUAGCUCAAUGGUAGAGUGCAUGCUUAGCAUGUAUGAGGUCCUGGGUUUAAUCCCCAGUACCUCCA